This 253-nucleotide ribosomal RNA is filed under the name uncultured bacterium. RNAcentral's name for it is "partial 16S ribosomal RNA". It matches the Rfam family "Bacterial small subunit ribosomal RNA", at positions 524 to 776 of the family's 1533-position model. The record is from RNAcentral.
UACGUAGGGUGCGAGCGUUGUCCGGAAUUAUUGGGCGUAAAGAGCUUGUAGGCGGUUUGUCGCGUCUGCCGUGAAAAUCCGGGGCUCAACCCCGGACUUGCGGUGGGUACGGGCAGACUAGAGUGUGGUAGGGGAGACUGGAAUUCCUGGUGUAGCGGUGAAAUGCGCAGAUAUCAGGAGGAACACCGAUGGCGAAGGCAGGUCUCUGGGCCACUACUGACGCUGAGGAGCGAAAGCGUGGGGAGCGAACAGG